GACGAACCGUACGAACGUUAUUCGGAAUCACUGGGCUUAAAGGGUGCGUAGGCUGCGCAGCAAGUUGGGUGUGAAAUCCCUCGGCUUAACCGAGGAACUGCGCCCAAAACUGCUGUGCUCGAGGGAGAUAGAGGUGAGCGGAACUUAGGGUGGAGCGGUGAAAUGCGUUGAUAUCCUAAGGAACACCGGUGGCGAAAGCGGCUCACUGGAUCUCUUCUGACGCUGAGGCGCGAAAGCGUGGGGAGCAAACAGG
RNAcentral lists this ribosomal RNA (253 nucleotides) under uncultured bacterium. RNAcentral's name for it is "partial 16S ribosomal RNA". It matches the Rfam family "Bacterial small subunit ribosomal RNA", at positions 524 to 776 of the family's 1533-position model. The record is from RNAcentral.